GGUUUAUCACACUAUAACAAUAGGCGCUUGGCGCUUGUGAGCGAAAGAGACGGCUGCGCAGAAUUUGACCUUACCUCUAUGUGGCUUGAUGCGUGGUAAUAUAUACUAUCUUUUUAUUAUUUAUCACAAAAUGUAUUAAAAAUAAUUACAUAUUUUAAUUUUUUUUAUUCCUUAAUGACGUAAGUUUACUUUGAUGAAGAUAGUUCGUUAAAUUUUCAUAUUUUCUAAGAAAAAUAUCGCUUUUAAAAUUAUACUUAUUUGGAAAAUAUUCGUAACUUUAAUUUUUUUUUAUCGAUUAAUAGAGAUACAAAUGGAAUAAAACUCUGUUCUAUUAUUCAACAAAAUUAUAUUCCACAUAUUACGUAUUUUUUUAAAAAUGGUUUCAACGUAGAGGUUUUUGAAAAGUAGGA
This 410-nucleotide unclassified non-coding RNA is filed under the name Melitaea cinxia (Glanville fritillary). RNAcentral's name for it is "misc RNA ENSMCXG00005009112.1". The record is from RNAcentral. Lineage: Eukaryota; Metazoa; Arthropoda; Insecta; Lepidoptera; Nymphalidae.